AGAGUUUGAUCAUGGCUCAGAAUGAACGUUGGCGGCGUGGAUUAGGCAUGCAAGUCGAGCGGUAGGGAACUGCUCACUUCAAGUUGUCGUAGCUGGAGUUGCAAAACUCCGGCCGAAUUCUUGCGAAUUCAGCUACAACUUCGAGGUGAGCAGUUCCUGGGAGCGGCGAAAGGGAGAGUAACGCGUAGUUUACGUACCCCGAGGACCGGAAUAGCUCACCGAAAGGUGAGGUAAUGCCGGAUGAUGUCUUCGGACUAAAGGUGUGAUUCCGCCCUGGGAGCGGACUGCGUUGUACUAGCUAGUUGGUAGGGUAAUGGCCUACCAAGGCAAUGAUGCAUAGCGGGUGUGAGAGCAUGACCCGUCUCACUGGGACUGAGACACUGCCCAGACACCUACGGGUGGCUGCAGUCGAGAAUCUUCGGCAAUGGACGAAAGUCUGACCGAGCGACGCCGCGUGUGGGAUGAAGGCCUUCGGGUUGUAAACCACUGUCGUAGAGGAGGAAAUUGAUUGGGGUUCUCCCCAGUCAUUGACCUAUUCUAGGAGGAAGGACGGGCUAAGUUCGUGCCAGCAGCGGCGGUAAUAC
Molecule: ribosomal RNA, 584 nt
Filed under: uncultured bacterium
Lineage: Bacteria
Description: bacterial SSU rRNA
Rfam family: Bacterial small subunit ribosomal RNA
Source: RNAcentral